RNAcentral lists this ribosomal RNA (253 nucleotides) under uncultured bacterium. RNAcentral's name for it is "partial 16S ribosomal RNA". It matches the Rfam family "Bacterial small subunit ribosomal RNA", at positions 524 to 776 of the family's 1533-position model. The record is from RNAcentral.
UACGAAGGGGGCUAGCGUUGUUCGGAUUUACUGGGCGUAAAGCGCACGUAGGCGGAUCGUUAAGUCGGGGGUGAAAUCCUGGAGCUCAACUCCAGAACUGCCUUCGAUACUGGCGAUCUUGAGUCCGGAAGAGGUGAGUGGAACUCCUAGUGUAGAGGUGGAAUUCGUAGAUAUUAGGAAGAACACCUAUGGCGAAGGCAGCUCUCUGGGACGGUACUGACGCUGAGACGCGAAAGCGUGGGGAGCGAACAGG